GUUGGACCUUGUGAUGCAAUGCUGUAAUGCUGCAGCAGGCUGUAUCCCACUCCACUGGAGAUGUCAGGGCAUGCCAAGGUCAAGAGGACUAGAGCUAUAUUUCUGGAUGAGAAAUUGCAGGUAUCAGCCGCAGCAUGAGGACUGGAAAGGUGAGCUGGGAAUUUCAAUCCGCGCAGUAAAGUGGAGUGAAGGUUAAAGUUUUAUGCGCCCAGGGACAAUGAAGAUUGAUUGCUUGGAGAAUUGUGUUUUGUCCGCAAUUACAGGGGUUGUGAGGCUGAAAAUAACUUCCUUUUCGGUUAACAUGGGCAGCCUAUAUCUCUCUGUUCACUGCGCAGCGCGUUGUGUCAUGUCUCAGAUGCGACCAAGACUGAACGCACGGACUUCUCCAGAGCGCCGAGGUGCUGCAGUGUGUGUGUGUGUGUGUGUGUGUGUGUGUGUGUGAAACUGGAUAUUUAAGAGCUCGGAUCGGCGGUGACAGUGGACACACACACACACACACACACACACACACACACACACACACUGCGAGGGACGUUGAGGACUUGAACGCGGCAUGAAGCAGGCGGAGGGAAUGAGCGCUCGCCCUCGUGCAGCGCGUGCAGUGAUGCGCGUCUAUAAACGUGACUGAGCAGCUCAUGAAGCAGAGGCGGUAUGUGGGAAUCAUCAGAGCUGUUUCAGAUAGCGGUGAAGCUGAAAGAGCAUCUCGGAGCAGUAGCCCAUCUCAACCAUCCAGCGGUUCACACAAACAUGAAAACACACAGGCAGCGCGCGCUUCAAGAGGAGCAACUCCAAGUUCAGUUCAGGUACCUCACCCCAGCUACAAGGUAAAGUAUGCUUUAAUACCUUGUUUUGAGAGUGUAUGUGCAGAUUACUGAGUAGAUUUUCACUACCUACUGUUAGUCUUCAUUCUUCAGCUUUUAACAUGGUGUGAAUAGAAGCAUGUUGCAAGUUAAAGGAAUAUUUUCUAGGCUAAUUUUCUCUCCUUUUUCCCUUUAAAAGUGAAAACACAUAUCAUAGCCUCUCCCAUCCUCUCCUCCUUUAUUUAGCUACCUACAGUCAAAAAGGAUCAAUCUAACACCCUAACAUUUUUUCUAACUUGUCUCUCUGAUAGAACCCUUAAAGGUUCUAUGUAGAACUGAAUAAGCAGGUUUUCCUUUAAGAGAGUAUCAAGUAGAACCUCUCGAGACAGCUAGAACCAUUAACAAUCCAAAGAGGAACUUUUUCGUUUUUUUCUCUAAUAGCGUGCUGUGAAAGUAGGCCUUUGCUGUCUAAUGCUUUGCACAUUGACAUUCUCUUUAAUUUCCUGCAGUGCGUUUUCCCCACAGGGUCGCAGUUCAAAACGCUUUCUGUUCAGUUCAGUUUUUAACAGAAGAUUUUAAGUGUCAGUGUGUUGGCAGUCCUUUAGAGUCCGAGCCUUCCGUUAGCCCAAAACAGUAUUUCUCCAUCGGGACUUGAUAAGAACCCUAUAACAAACAUUCUAAACCAAUCUGUGAAAAAUGUGCCACUCAGUCCUGACAUGUUACAGAGACUGAUGAAGAAGUCAAGGAGUGCGGCAGUUCCUGCGGCAGAAUGUGGAAAGUGCAGAUUUUAUCUAGUCCACUCGAUUUUCCUCAGCGUAUGACGAAACGGGUCAGAGGUUCUUAACUGCAGUAUUGCAGAGUUCCCUACCCUCAACACACCUAACCCACUUUUAGCACCUAAUAAUUAGCUGAUUGGUUGGCAAUAUUGAAAAGUUUAAACUGUACAGGAUAGGCGUCCCCAGGAAUGGAUUUGAGAACCACUUUGAUAAGCAGAACCCUUAACUGUUCAAUGUAGAAAUCUUUGGAGUAGAAUCACUUCUGAAGCUAAAAACUAUGCAAAGAACCCUUGAAAAAUCCUUGAAGUGUAUAAAUAGCUAAUCUUUGAACUUGUUCUUGGUAAAGAGAGCUGAUGAGAGAAAUUGAAAUACCUCAUUCAACUGACAUUUCUUUUUUAGUCAGUGCAGGAUACUCUUAUUCUCGUGUCUUUUUCCUCUCGGAUCAACCACAAGAGACAUGCGAUGACAUUCAAGUGUCUUUGGUAGGUUAUUUGCUAAAUUAUUGUGAUGAUAAUAUGAGAGAUUAUGAACUGAAGAAACACUUGUGUUGUAAAUAAGCCUAAAUAGUUUUGGCAUAGCCUAAAUAGGCAUAUUUAUUAGUUGCGUGUAUCUCGUCACAUUUUGCUGAGAGUAGGGCAAAGAGCAUUUUGGGCUAAAAUAAAUGCAAGCUUUGAAGUAUUCCUACAGUAAUGAGCAAAUUAGUUUAUGUCAGUUCUUGAAAUGUAACUGAAGUCAGUAAACAUACACCUCUUAACUAUUAGCUGAGGUGUCUAUGGAGGGAAGAAGAAAGAAAUCGUAGCAAAUAUGACUUCUUUUUCCACUUUUAUUCUAAUCCCUCAUGAGUUAAAUAUACUGUUGGUAUGAGCUUUAGGAAAACCAUGCUGCUAAAAUCCCCAACAUGGCUCUGGCCCAGCCUGAGCUAGGCUUUUCAUGUGGAUUGAAAGUCAGAAAGAGUUUUGACGAAACGAAACAAUCAUUUAUUAAAGCUGUAAUGAGCUCACCAGUUAGCUAGCAGCAUUUUCUUUUCCACAAUCUUGACAUAUUCCAUUAUCAGCUUAGUGAGCAUCUCUUAUGAAAUUGCAUGCGAUUAAUGCUGAUCAAACAGGAAUAAGGAAAGUUACUCAAAUAUGGCAGAUGCUGAGCACUCAGAUUUUCCUUUUGAAUAAAGCACAUAAAGUGCUGCACAGGGCUCCUACGCUUACUGUUUGAUUCCACUCCUGGCACUAAAUAUGCGGAUUGGCCGCUGCUGGUACAGAGGAAGGAUGUUGUCGGGCCUGAGGAUUGUGGAUAGUGGGGUACCAGUAGGCUAAUGGAACAGUGUGCAGCAUUGUUCUGGUGGCAGGCAGAGCUAUGGCUCUAUUUGUGGUGGGUCCGGAGUACAAAGAGGACACAGUACAAAGCAGCCUCAUACCGACCUCGACAUCACAGCCCACACGUUCUGCCUCAGCUUUAAGGUGGGAAAGGCUCUCGGAAGUGUUCAUUGUGGCUGCUCCCGUUGGCCUUGGUGCCUCUUAUGUCUUUGCAGUGUGUAUAAUAGCCCAUUGUUACAAUCAAACAGCCAAGGAGAGACGUUUUACCAAAGCAGAGUUCCAGUCACGUAUCUGCCGUUGUCCUGAUUGUCUAACAGCUACUUAUUCUUUUGCAUCAAUACUGUAAUUACAAGUCCCAUUAAUCGCCUGCAGCCACCGCAGCAAGGCACCAUGCGAGCUCAUUUAUCUAUUUUGCUGUCAAACUGAUAAUAAAAGGCUUUUCAGAUAAGGAAUGGGAUAAAUGCAUUAAUGGCUGGCAUAAUUCUCUUUUAAGGUGAGCUGAAAUACAACUUCCAUUAUAUGAUUUCCUCUUUCUCUGCAUUUUAAUACAUUCUCCUAGGUCUCAUAUUGGAUGAAACCAAAACAUUUUAGAUUGUCCAAUUCCGGAUAGUGUCCUUCACUUUUCCAAUAUAUUGUCACUUAGAUAUAAAAUCACGUCACCCCUCCUUUCUGGCCGACAAUGUCAAAGCUGUACAGAACACCACAUCCAUAUUCACGCUCUCUAAUUUCCUUGCUAUCUGAUUGAGCCCAGGCCAGAUUUCGCCCGUUUUGUCAGCGUGCAAGUUUCCCCCAUCGACUCUUCUUUCUGUUCACCUCGAUGUCCUUGGGCUGCCUGGUAUCGCAUGGUGCUUGGUCAUGCAGCUUCGGAAGUCGUUUGACCCUCAAGGAGCUAUGAGGUAUCACUGAUUAUGUCUUUCUACUUAAUGUGAGAGAGGCAUAUUAUGCAUUAUACAGUAUGGAAGACUUCACAUUGUUGCAGUGAGAGAUAAAGUGCUCAGAUGUCGAGUAUCGAGUAAAAUAUCUUAAACAAGGACAUCUCUGAAGUCAUUAGAAUUUUCGAAAAGAUAGCCGUUCAUGUGCCACAAUCUUUUGGGAUUUAAAUACCUGAGAUAAAAAUGGAAAAAUAUUCUGCACCAACAGUGACCGAUUUCUCAGGCAUAAAACUCUCAAGAGAUUUUUUGUCUUUUUGCUAGAAGGUGACUUAAAAUGUCAUUAACCUCACUUUGAGGCAAUUUGGGCCAUGGUGGUGUUUUUUUUCUUUUCUUCUGGAGUGGCUGUGGGAGAGGGGCUACCCGUCUCACAUGUAAAGUGAAACACGAGGGCUAUUUUGAGUGCAUGUGAUGAAUGUGGCAGUCCAUAGAAUCUCUGUUUUUCUUUCUUUCUUUCUCUCUCUCUCUAUCUAUCUCUCAGGGAGCGUGGAAGCUGAAGGUGACCUGUGGCUGGGCCAGGGGCUGCAACACAGGACAUGGGAGCUGCCUCUCACUCCCGCUCGUGUCUUGUGUUGCAGCCAGUGGAACUGCUGCACUGUGCACAUCACAAGGACGUCCUACAUCAGAAGCUGACUUUUUUUGUGUGUUUAGCAUGUACAUAAAUGUGCGCAUUCCUAAAUAAAAAUUCAUAAACAUUUUGCUGGGUGACAGUAAGUCCAUUCUAGCUGAAAUAGGACUUUUUUGCUUGUAUAAGCAAAGGCAAAUAUUGCUGCAGAACAACAGACAAGGUCAACAUUAUUGCACCUGUAUUUGUGUGUGUGUGUGUGUGUGUGUGUGUGUGUGUGUGUGUGUGUGUGUGCGUGCGUGCACGCACUGCUUGUCUGCUCUUGUAUUAAUGGUGUAUAAUCUACUUCAAGGUUAGGGUUGAAUAACACAGAUGGAGAAACCCAAGAUUGCAUUCUCCGCAUGUUGCUGCUCUUCCUAUUCAUAGUUGCCAGGCUGAGGAAGUGGAAUCACGGUCAAAGUAAUCAUUUAAACUCACAAAACAAAGUAAUUUUCUGUCAGGGUUUCACCCGAUUGGAAUUUAGACCCAAGAGUAAAUCCAAAAAGUUUUCCAAUCAUGUCUAAGCUCUCUCGCUGGGUUCCGAAUACAGCACAAUAGAAAUGGCUGCAAUUUGUAGACUAACGGAGGUUAAAAUCGGAUCUUUUUUUCAGCGCAGCGUAACGACACAGAGGCUGAUUACAUAAUGGCAUUCAAACAUACUAACAAGACGAUCACAAUACGUUGUUUUCAUGUGUCAAAAUUCAUACGUUGCCAUCCAUUUCUUUUAUUUUAAUGGGUAAAUUGCCAGCAAUUUUUUGACACAGAUGAUGACCAAUUUUGCAAGCAGAUCAAGCACACCAGAUUAAAUUCGCAACACGUGUAACAGGCUCGGCACCAAUCAAGCGCCUCAGUGCUGCUGAUUUCUUUUUUAUUCCUUGACAGACUUCUUAUCUCCUACUUCUUCCUGCUACAUUAAAGAUUUCUCUAUCCUAGCAUUUCAGUCACAGUCCUUUCUGUCUAGACGGAAACUAGAGUUAGCUAUAUUUGCUGCCAAGAUAAACUUCCCAGUUGUCCCAUAACAUACAUAUGGGACGUGUAUAACAAGCACUGCUACUUGUUAUACAGGGUGUCCCAAAAGUCUCCAUAUAUACUGUAGAGGACAGUACCUAUAUACAGCAUAUAUGUUUGCCAGCACCAUGUCGGUUGUACCUUCGUCAGUGGAUGUUCGUGGACGUCCACUCGUCCACUACUCAGUUUGUCCCCAACACUUCCAUUCUUUUUGAUUUUGUUAAUAAGUUUGGCAACAGUUUGGUGUGUGUGAUGCGAUUAGCGUGUUUCCUGUUAAAGUCCAUCGUAACCUUGCGAAAGCUUCCUGAUCCAGCCACAAGAAUGAUUUCAAUACAUUCUUCUUUCGUCAAAGGCAUUCUUAAAG
This is a long non-coding RNA of Ictalurus punctatus (channel catfish), 5791 nucleotides long. Lineage: Eukaryota; Metazoa; Chordata; Actinopteri; Siluriformes; Ictaluridae. The record is from Ensembl.